Molecule: transfer RNA, 77 nt
Filed under: Lymantria mathura (rosy gypsy moth)
Lineage: Eukaryota; Metazoa; Arthropoda; Insecta; Lepidoptera; Erebidae
Description: tRNA-Lys
Source: RNAcentral
CAUUAAGUGACUGAAAGUAAGUAUUGGUCUCUUAAACCACAUUAUAGUAACUUAACAUCUACUCUUAAUGAAAAGAA